AAGUCGUAACAAGGUUUCCGUAGGUGAACCUGCGGAAGGAUCAUUAACACGUAUCCAAACGUUAAAACCCCCCCCGUGAACCUUCAUCCUGCUCUUGUAACCCGCGUAGUUCGCAAUCUCUGAUAAAUCAUAGCCCGGAAAGUUGUAGUGAUUCAGAGACCUCUGGCUACGUGCGAACAUUGGAACAGUUACAAUCGAGCGGUAGUUCUAUAGGCAAUGUUUCCCCAAGCAGUCAGUGUCGGAAAGCUCCAAAGGGUCCCCAUGCCCCCUAAUAACCCCACAGUUUAAUGUGAAACUCAAUGUAAUACAUUGGGUAAAAAAACCGAACAACUGUUAACAAUGGAUAUCUUGGUUCUC
Molecule: unclassified non-coding RNA, 357 nt
Filed under: fungal sp.
Lineage: Eukaryota; Fungi
Description: partial internal transcribed spacer region
Rfam family: Eukaryotic small subunit ribosomal RNA (bases 1-46)
Source: RNAcentral